UCGGGAAUUUUGGGCAAUGGGCGCAAGCCUGGUCCAGCCAUGCCGCGUGCAGGAUGACGGUCCUAUGGAUUGUAAACUGCUUUUUGUACAGGAAGAAACAGUUCUACGUGUAGAACCUUGACGGUACUGUAAGAAUAAGGAUCGGCUAACUCCGUGCCAGCAGCCGCGGCAAUACGGAGGAUCCAAGCGUUAUCCGGAAUCAUUGGGUUUAAAGGGUCCGUAGGCGGUUAGAUAAGUCAGUGGUGAAAGCCCAUCGCUCAACGGUGGAACGGCCAUUGAUACUGUCUGACUUGAAUUAUUAGGAAGUAACUAGAAUAUGUAGUGUAGCGGUGAAAUGCUUAGAGAUUACAUGGAAUACCAAUUGCGAAGGCAGGUUACUACUAAUGGAUUGACGCUGAUGCACGAAGGCCAGGGUAGCGAACGGGAUUAGAUACCCAAGUAGUCCCUGAGCGGGCUGGCAAGGCGCAU
RNAcentral lists this ribosomal RNA (468 nucleotides) under uncultured bacterium. RNAcentral's name for it is "bacterial SSU rRNA". It matches the Rfam family "Bacterial small subunit ribosomal RNA", at positions 355 to 825 of the family's 1533-position model. The record is from RNAcentral.